UCACGGAAAACGAGGGAGCAGCCA
RNAcentral lists this microRNA (24 nucleotides) under Oryza sativa (Asian cultivated rice). Its description in RNAcentral is "osa-miR1868". The record is from miRBase by way of RNAcentral. RNAcentral also lists the same sequence under 1 other name. Lineage: Eukaryota; Viridiplantae; Streptophyta; Magnoliopsida; Poales; Poaceae.